GGCUGGCCUGAGGGUAGUGGAUUAUCAGAACUUAUUAACAUCAGUGUUACUGAAGUUGGUGUACAACCCCCCCCACCCCACUGGUAAAUUUGACUGGCUUUUU
Nomascus leucogenys (northern white-cheeked gibbon) is the source of this 103-nucleotide unclassified non-coding RNA. It matches the Rfam family "Y RNA". Rfam says of the family: Y RNAs are components of the Ro ribonucleoprotein particle (Ro RNP), in association with Ro60 and La proteins. The Y RNAs and Ro60 and La proteins are well conserved, but the function of the Ro RNP is not known. In humans the RNA component can be one of four small RNAs -- hY1, hY3, hY4 and hY5. The record is from Ensembl. NCBI's taxonomy places the organism in Eukaryota, Metazoa, Chordata, Mammalia, Primates, Hylobatidae.